This 17-nucleotide ribosomal RNA is filed under the name Amaranthus palmeri. Its description in RNAcentral is "partial 28S ribosomal RNA". Lineage: Eukaryota; Viridiplantae; Streptophyta; Magnoliopsida; Caryophyllales; Amaranthaceae. RNAcentral also lists the same sequence under 3 other names. The record is from RNAcentral.
CGACCCCAGGUCAGGCG